UGCGCAGGCGGUUCGUUAAGUCAGAUGUGAAAGCCCCGGGCUCAACCUGGGAACUGCAUUUGAAACUGGCGGGCUUGAGUAUGGCAGAGGGGGGUGGGAAUUCCGCGUGUAGCAGUGAAAUGCGUAGAGAUGCGGAGGAACACCGAUGGCGAAGGCAGCCCCCUGGGCCAAUACUGACGCUCAGGCACGAAAGCGUGGGGGAGCAAACA
Molecule: ribosomal RNA, 209 nt
Filed under: uncultured bacterium
Lineage: Bacteria
Description: partial 16S ribosomal RNA
Rfam family: Bacterial small subunit ribosomal RNA
Source: RNAcentral